AAAUGAAAAAUACUGCCUUGCAGUGUCCAGCAUUGAAAUCCUGACAGAUCCUUGCUCGGGAAUAUGAAUGUAUGAUUAAAAGGUCUUGAGCCUGCUUUUCAGUCUGAAAUUCCUCCAGGGACUGUCCUGGUUCUCGGGCUUUUGUACUCAAGACUGGACCUCUAUCUCUGGCUUUCCUGAGUCUCUGGCUUACUUGACUCAUCCUGCAGAUGUGGAGACUUGACAAUCAUAAUCAUAACUGUUACACACCAGGGGCUAAAAACAGCACUAGCAGCAGCAGUACAUGCAGCAGAAUGAAAGGACAGUGAGAAUCAUAGGUUCUCAGCACAGGCUGGAGUCCCCCCAGUGUGAAGCAGUAACAUCUAAGAUAGCUACUGCACCUGGCAGAGAGAAUGGUAAGAAAAGUUCCCUGGGAAUCCAGGUUGAAAAGGACAAACGUCUUCUAAUUAAUAUAAAUAAAUCAGUCAGUCAAUCAAUCUGUUCUUCACUAAGGGGACUCUCAAGCCAGACAAGUCGGAUGUGAUGCAUCGUUUUGGCAAAUGUGACCCCAGCUGUCGUGACAGUCCUUGGGCAGCUGGUGCACUUUGGAAACAUGCUGUGACACUAUCACCAGGAAUUCAGUAAGUGCAGAAGUAUUCUUGGAAAAUGUGGUUGCACACAAUUAAGUGGAAAGGAGCAGAUUCAGCCCAAGAGCAAAUCGCAAACCUGGAAAUAAUGACCAUUUAGGUUAAAACAUUGGACAUAAUGGCCAGUGUUCGAUGGGUCACAUGGUGCAGCUCAUCAGCUGUGGCAGAUCCUGGCCCAGGACCCCGCUCGCUCAGUCAGUAAAUCCCGGUGCUGCCGAGACAGAAGCAGCCUGAGCUCUGUCCACUUUAUUAUAGGGCAUCACGUAUGGCCCCACUUUGUCAUUUGGAUUUCUUAGACUUCUUUCCUGCCUAGCUUUUUUAAUAAGCAGGUAGGCAUUUGCUGAAGACUUCUGAGCACUAAAAUGAGUGCAAGAAUAUUCACAUGGUUUCAAGGUAUCACCAUACAGAUCAUUUAUCAAUCACAAAGGGGGAAACACGGGUAACAUUCGGGUAAAUAAUAGUGUUCCAAUUUCACAUUGAUUCACAAACAAUAAAACCAAUCGGCUCACUGACUUUAUAUUUGCAAAGAUUUGAUGCAGUGGAAAAAUUCCUAGUGCGUUCUAUGUAGUAUUCUUGCCAAGAGAAUAAUUGAAUUUAAACAUGAGAAAAUAAUCAGACAAAUACAGAUUGUGAAAUAUCUUACAAGACAGUUGUUCUAAACAAUCAGACAAAUCUAGAAUGUAGGAUAUCCAACAGUGCAAGUGGCUUAAACUUUUCAAAAAUAACAAUGUCCUGAAAGAAAAUAAAAGUGAAAGAAUCCUUGCAGAUUAAAGGAAAAUAAAGAGACCUGACAAUCAGGAAAAACACACAAACUUGUUUACCUGAGUGGAAGGUCAAAAAAAGCUAUAAAGAUAUUUGGGGGAUGAUUGAGUAUAUUUGAUUGUGGAAAUUAGGAAAUGUUUUUGAACAAUGCUAAAUUUAUGGAGUGUGAAAUCAAGUAAUAUGAGAAGGACCCAGCAGCAAUGCAUUCAGAAGAAAAACCACCCGGGGAGUUGGUGGUGACGCUCAUAAUGGCCACAGGCUUCUCUCAGGCAGAGAGGGCUCAGAUCAGCCUCUGCUAUUAUUAGAAUGAUUUCUCCUGCCACCAGGUGGAUGGAUUAAUGGCAUGGCAAUUUCUCCUGCAAAGAGAGAAGGACCAGAUUCAGGCUUUUUUGAGAGCUCUUUUAAGAACAAGGAUACAAAAUUAUGCAUACGAAAUUAUGAAUUCAAAAUUAGA
This is a long non-coding RNA of Ailuropoda melanoleuca (giant panda), 1842 nucleotides long. RefSeq lists it as uncharacterized. The record is from RefSeq and is a predicted model, not a curated record. NCBI's taxonomy places the organism in Eukaryota, Metazoa, Chordata, Mammalia, Carnivora, Ursidae. The transcript has 3 exons.